This 301-nucleotide ribosomal RNA is filed under the name uncultured bacterium. RNAcentral's name for it is "partial 16S ribosomal RNA". It matches the Rfam family "Bacterial small subunit ribosomal RNA", at positions 509 to 809 of the family's 1533-position model. The record is from RNAcentral.
CAGUAGCCACGGUAACACGAAGGGGGCUAGCGUUGUUCGGAAUUACUGCGCGUAAAGCGCACGUAGGCGGAUAUUUAAGUCAGGGGUGAAAUCCCGCAGCUCAACUGCGGAACUGCCUUUGAUACUGGGUAUCUUGAGUAUGGAAGAGGUUAGUGGAAUUGCGAGUGUAGAGGUGAAAUUCGUAGAUAUUCGCAGGAACACCAGUGGCGAAGGCGGCUAACUGGUCCAUAACUGACGCUGAGGUGCGAAAGCGUGGGGAGCAAACAGGAUUAGAUACCCCGGUAGUCCCUGUCUCUUAUAA